This 460-nucleotide ribosomal RNA is filed under the name uncultured bacterium. RNAcentral's name for it is "partial 16S ribosomal RNA". It matches the Rfam family "Bacterial small subunit ribosomal RNA", at positions 338 to 795 of the family's 1533-position model. The record is from RNAcentral.
CCUACGGGAGGCAGCAGUGAGGAAUAUUGGUCAAUGGGCGAGAGUCUGAACCAGCCAAGUAGCGUGAAGGAUGACUGCCCUAUGGGUUGUAAACUUCUUUUAUAUGGGAAUAAAAUGUUCCACGUGUGGGAUUUUGUAUGUACCAUAUGAAUAAGGAUCGGCUAACUCCGUGCCAGCAGCCGCGGUAAUACGGAGGAUCCGAGCGUUAUCCGGAUUUAUUGGGUUUAAAGGGAGCGUAGGUGGAUUGUUAAGUCAGUUGUGAAAGUUUGCGGCUCAACCGUAAAAUUGCAGUUGAAACUGGCAGUCUUGAGUACAGUAGAGGUGGGCGGAAUUCGUGGUGUAGAGGUGAAAUGCUUAGAUAUCACGAAGAACUCCGAUUGCGAAGGCAGUUCACUGGACUGCAACUGACACUGAGGCUCGAAAGUGUGGGUAUCAAACAGGAUUAGAUACCCGAGUAGUC